AGCGAACGCUGGCGGCAGGCUUAACACAUGCAAGUCGAGCGGGCACUUCGGUGUCAGCGGCAGACGGGUGAGUAACACGUGGGAACGUACCCUUCGGUUCGGAAUAACGCUGGGAAACUAGCGCUAAUACCGGAUACGCCCUUUUGGGGAAAGGUUUACUGCCGAAGGAUCGGCCCGCGUCUGAUUAGCUAGUUGGUGGGGUAAUGGCCUACCAAGGCGACGAUCAGUAGCUGGUCUGAGAGGAUGAUCAGCCACACUGGGACUGAGACGCGGCCCAGACUCCUACGGGAGGCAGCAGUGGGGAAUAUUGGACAAUGGGCGCAAGCCUGAUCCAGCCAUGCCGCGUGAGUGAUGAAGGCCUUAGGGUUGUAAAGCUCUUUUGUCCGGGACGAUAAUGACGGUACCGGAAGAAUAAGCCCCGGCUAACUUCGU
RNAcentral lists this ribosomal RNA (432 nucleotides) under uncultured bacterium. Its description in RNAcentral is "partial 16S ribosomal RNA". It matches the Rfam family "Bacterial small subunit ribosomal RNA", at positions 29 to 506 of the family's 1533-position model. The record is from RNAcentral.